UCAGAGGCAGUCCUCUGGGGAAACUGCACUGAUAGCAAUCGUGGCCAGUAAUCCGUAUAUUGACUGCCUUGAUGCUCUCCUCGUUCUCCUGCUGCUUCCAUGUUUUGGGCGGAGUAUUCUGUCACGCCCGUAAUACAUAAUCAUAAUCAUAAUCAUGAUAACAUAAUCAUUGUUAAGUGCUGGAGACUGACACCAAUCUAGACACCCUCGAACAACAGCCAAUGACAGAACGGGGAAGAGACAGAACAGAAACAAAACAAAUGUACAUGUCCACAGUAAACAAUGUCACAGUUGUCAACAUCCGUAGAGCAUGCGCUCGCUGAGCACUCGUGACAUAAACCCCCACAAGGGCACACCUCCCGGAGCACCUCAAAAUAGUCCUCUCCAAUGGCAGUCCUGGCCCCCUGGGCAAAAUGUCCCCAGCUGAACCAGGAGACUGCACAGCAUCCUCAGUGGAACAGAAAAGCAAAACAAUGUACUCAGCAGAACAGAAAAACAGAGCGACGCCAUGAGCGGAGCAGGAAAGCAGAGCGAUGUCCUCAGCGGAGCAGGAAAGCAAAGCGACGUCCUCAGCGGAGCAGGAAAGCACGACGUCCUCAGUGUCACAGUUGUCACAGUUGUCAACAUCCGUAGAGCAUGCGCUCGCUGAGCACUCGUGAAUGUAGCUUGUGCAUGCGCCCGCCCUCUCAUCUCUCUGAGCGUGCUGCCAGAAGGGGAGAUUGUGACACAUCCAUUGUAGAGGUGAAGUAAUCUGUCAUGUGGUGGAAAUUGCAGGUAUGCAUGCUAAAAACUGUGUUUAUUAAAUAAUCCAGACAGAAAAAUCCAAAGGGUUUAUAAACAAUAAACAGGCAAUGGUCAGGUCAUGAACAAUCAGGCUAAACUAGAGAAGGUACAAAACUGAAUCAAAGGGCAGAAACAAGGUUUAAAACAGUGAAAGGCAAAGACGAGAAAAUCAAGGUUUGGUACCAACAGAACACAAGGUAACUGAGCAUAUACUACACCCCAAACAAAGGCGCACAAUGGUUUUAAAUCCUAAGCACAAUCAAGUGGAUAACACAAAACAGCUGAGACAUUAGGAAAAAAUCAAUAGCAUGACGGGGUGAAGACAGGACAGAAACCAAAACAAAACACACAUGCCACAAGUAAACAAAGUUACUGUCAUGACAACCAGUGUAACUCUACAAGUAACUUUACAAGUUACUCAAAAAAGUAAUCCACUACAUAUUACUAAUUACUUCUUUAAAAUUGUAAUCUGAUUACAUUACUAAUUACGGCAUGUAAAAAGUAAACCGAUUACCAAUUACUUUACUUUCACGUUACUUUCAAAGCCUAUCAAACCUACUGUGACGCCACAGCCGGCAGAGGUCACUGCGGCACAGCUUCCAACAAGACACGUGACACUAUUGUUUUGGUUUCCUUCUCUUCCUGCUUGGACAUUGGCUGGAUGUACGAGGGUGUAGCUUAAUUUGAGCCAGGUGUUUAUGUUUAGUGUAAUUAUGUUGGCUAUUUAAACCCCUUGUGUGGCUGCACACUUCGUGCAGUAUUAUCAGUUGCAGCAUUAGUAACAUUUGUAGUGUUUAGCAUGUGUGUUAGUUCAGUAGUGAAUGCGGGUAGUAUGCUAGCGGUCUCAUGUCCCUGUUACGUUCCCGAGUAAUGCCUAGACCAUAGUCCUGUUCAACCUAGACCGCGUUUCUUGUGUUUGUUUGUUUGCUUCUUUGUUUAUUAAUAAAGACAGCGCUCCUGCGCUUACAGCUAUUUUUAGUCAUUUUAGAGCUAUAUCUAACCGACCAUUUUUAAUUAAAACUUUAGAAAAAGCUGUUUUUAUUCAGCUUCAUGAUUUUCUUAUUUUGAAUAAUGUCUGAAAAAUUCCUAUCAGCCUUUUGAGACCACCAAUGUCAGAAUUUUAAAUGAUGAGCUAAGUGCCAGUUCCAAUCACAUUUCCAAUUCCACAUUUCUUAUUUGACCUGAGUACAGCUUUUGAUACUGUAGACCAUGAUACUUUUCUACACAGACCUGAACAUUGGGUAGGACUCUCAGAAGCCAUGCUAAGCUGGUUUAGGCCAUACUUGUGUGGUAGACAGAUUUAGGUUAAAUAGGGAAGUCACACAUGAAGACAAUAUGAUUUCAUUUGGAAUUCCACAAGGAUCCAUUUUAGGACUUGCUUUUCUCACACGACAUGUUACCUCUUGGUAGACAUGAAGUUUUCAUAGUUAUGCAGAUGACACAAAACUUUAUAUAUCAAUGUCAACGGGUAAUUAAGAGCCAAUUAACAAAUUAGUUACAUGCUUGAAUGAAAUAUCUAACUGGAUGUCACAGACCUAUCUACAGUUAAACCAGGAUAACUGUAGGAGAUAAACAAAAAAGAGAAUGCCUAUUUAACAAGAUCAGUUCUCUCUCUUUAUUGAUCAAAACACGGGCUAGAAAUCUGGGUGUAAUAGUUGACUUUGAUGUCAGAUUUUUUCCUCACAUUAACAAUAUCUCUAAGGUUGCGUUUUAUUAUUUGAAGGACAUUGCAAAAGUUCAUCCAGUUCCUUUUAGCAGAAGGCGCUUUGUGAAACUGCUUUUAGUAUCCAUGCUCCCAGGAUGUGGAACUCACUCCCAGCCUAUAUCCAUCAGUCACCGUCACUAAAUAUAUUUAAAAAGCAGCUUAAAACACAUUUAUUUACCUUGGCUUUUAAUUAGUCCUCUUGUUUUUUUGCAUAAACUGCUUAUCUCUUAAUGAUUUUCGUCGUAUUUUAUAUUCUGUUUGAUUACUUAUUUUUUAUUUCUUAAAGACUUUUUAACUUUUAAUAUAACAUUUUUAUGUUGUCUUGCAUUAUUAUUGUUUUAUUAUUAUUUUAUCAUUUUAUUAUAUCUUUUUGUCACGAUUUCCCCUCGAGCUAGCGCUUUAGGGUCUUCAGUGACAUUGAUUACUUCAGUGACAGUAUUUACUUUCUACACUCGCUUUUGCUAUGGUUUAUGUCCUGUCUCCGCCUCUGAAUUGUCAUUGGUUGUUUCCCGUAGGUGUGCCAUCAUUGUUCUCAGCUGUCUUGUGUUUCACCCCUGAUUACAUUUGUCAUUUAAACCCCUUGUGUCUCUUUACUAAUGUUAUCACACUAACAAGCAUUUAUACGUUGUUCCUCGAUUUGUUUCAUGGUCCUUGUUCUUAUUUCUCUGUCUCGAUUCUUGCCUUGCCUAGUUUAUGCCUGUUUGUAGGUUGCCUGACCCAUUGCCUGUUUUUUUUCGAACACGCUAUUGUCUCAUGAUUUGGACUUGUCUGCCUGCCUCUCUUUAUUAAAAGCUCUUUCUGCACUUGCAUCCAUACGAACCUUCAUUACGAGGAGUACAUGACACUUUUCAAUUGUGAAUUACUUUGAGCUGAAUUUUCUGUAUGAAAGAUGCUAUAUAAACAAGAACAGCAACAACAACAAAAACAAUAUUAAUAAUAAUUAUUAUUAUUAUUAUAAUUAUUAUUACUACUACUACUAUUACAAAGCCUUAAAGAUGUUGCUUUGUUUACAUUUGUGAGCCAUUGUUUUUUGCCUUGAUUCCUUGCCUCUUUGUUUACCUGUUUGGAUUACCAUCUGGAUUUUGGAAACUGUCACUUAUUGUAUAUCGAUCUCUGCUAAUAAAGAAAAAACAUCUAGUUAGUUGCAGUUUCUGCUGACAGAAAUGCCUUGAGAGAGGUCAAUGGAGAAUGGCCAGACUGCUACGAGCUGGCAGAAAGGCUAUAGUACCUCAGAUAACCACUUUAUACAAUUGUGAUAAGCAGAAAAGCAUCUCAGAAUGCACAACAUGUCGAACCUUGAGAUGGAUGGGCUACAACAGCAGAAGGCCGGUUCCACUUCUGUCAGCCAGGAACAGAAAACUGAAGCUGCAGUGGGCACAGGUUCACUAAAGACCUGUUCACAUGAAAUACGGUCUGUUUAACGGCCCAGUGGCUGUCAGUGAGAGUGUUCACAUGCAGGCUUAAAAUGCUUGGUGUCAAAGCAGCAAAUUGUUUCAACGUCAAGGGAUUCGGGUUUUUUGAUACACCGUGUCAAAAAUUGGCCGACCAAUGAGAUUCGCACUUUUGUUCAUGUGGCUGGAUCCGCUCAAGUUACAUAAAAUCACGACUUGAUAGCACUCAAAUAUAAAACUGUCUUACCGACGAAGAAGAUGCCAGCACCCACCAUUUUAGUGAGAAUGUAUAAUAGAGUUACAUAUAAUGCUCACUGCUAAUAAAUCCUUCUGUUUACACACAUAAACAAGGUAUCAUUUGAAAGCAUCAGAUUCAAAUAAAUAACUAAAUAAGUGUAUUUAUUAUGUUGUGGCUAUUUUUGUUUUGAUGACAGUGAAAUGCAAGCAUAUACACUAAAUAUAUUUUCAAUGAGGCUAUUAACAUGAAAUUUUCACCAGACAUCAGUAUUAACUCAAGAACUCUGCAAAUGUAAACAGUAAAUUCCAUAAAUAAAAAUAGGUAGAAUAAUGUGGAAUGACACAGGAAAAAAGUAUUGAACAUGCUAACUGAAAUUUAUUUAAUACUUAUUGGAGAAGCCUUUGUUUAUAAUGCCAGCUGGAAGAUGCUUCCUGUAUGAAGAAAUUAAUCGGCCGCAGUAUUCAGGUGUGAUUUGGCCCAUUCUUCUAAACAUAUUGUCUUUAAAUCUUGUUCAGUUGGAUUCAAGUCAGGUGAUUGACACCUUGAGUUUCCUUUACUGUAUGCUUUGGAUCGUUGUCCUCCUGGAAGGUCCACCCAUGUCUCAUCUUCACCCACUAUAUUCUAAAUGAUCCAUUUAAUUCUUUCAGUAUUGAUUUCUACACCAAAUAGCAUUGUUUGUUUCUUUGUCUCUUCCCUGCACUGUAAAAAUUGAUUUUGAGUUUUAGUUGUUCCCAAGUAAAUUUUUAAGUUAACACAACAAAUUUUUUUUUUUUUUUUAGUUUUUCAGUCAACUUAAUAUGUUAAACUUUCACUGUCGCAACUAGUUUGUAAAUUGAAUUACCAACAGUAUCGGUCACCUCAACUUAAAAGCAUAUGUUGAAUCAAUACAAUAAUGAUGCUCUAAACAUUUUAUUGCGAGAUCUCACGUGAAGCGCGAAGCAGAAGGAAGACUGCGUAGUGAUGUGUUGUUCAUGACGAUUCGUUCAUUUUCAACAAAUCUUUAAUAUGAUUCGGGAACAACGAGUUGUCUCAGAGAGUGACUCGUUCAUUUUUGACCGUGCAUGCGCAGCAACGUCCCCAUAGGUUAUGUACCGGAAACAGAAAUGGUUAGUUCACCUCUGGAGUCUUUGGUUCGAGUCGUUCGUUCAUCACUUCACAGCCCCACUGUGAAAGGGGGGCAGUCACGUGAUGAACGAAAAUGAAAAUGUCCAAAUUGGGCCCAAAGUGUCAAUAUUUUGUGUGGCCAACAUUAUUUUCCAGCACUGCCUUAACCCUCUUGGGCAUGGAGUUCACCAGAGCUUCACAGGUUGCCACCGGAGUCCUCUUCCACUCCUCCAUGACAACAUCACGGAGCUGGUGGAGGUUAGAGACCUUGUGCUCCUCCACCUUCUGUUUGAGGAUGCCCCACAGAUGCUCAACAGGGUUUAGGUCUGGAGACAUGCUUGGCCAGUCCAUCACCUUCACCCUCAGCUUCUUUAACAAGGCAGUGGUCGUUAUCAUCCUGGAAUACUGCCCUGCGGCCCAGUCUCCGAAGGGAGGGGAUCAUUCUCUGCUUCAGUAUGUCACAGUACAUGUUGGCAUUCAUGGUUCCCUCAAUGAACUGUAUUACCAGUGCCGGCAUCACUCAUGCAGCCCCAGACGAUUACACUCCCACCACCAUGCUUGACUGUAGGCAAGACACAUUUGUCUUUGUACUCCUCACCUGGUUGCCGCCACACACGCUUGUCACCGUCUGAACCAAAUAAGUUUAUCUUGGUCUCAUCAGACCACAGGACAUGGUUCCAGUAAUCCAUGUCCUUAGUCUGCUUGUCUUCAGCAAACUGUUUGCAGGCUUUCUUGUGCAUCAUCUUUAGAAGAGGCUUCCUUCGGAGAUGACGGCUGACUCCCCACCCCUUUAAUCUCUGCAGCACCCCUUUAAUCUCACACAUCUAUUUCCAAAAGACAACCUCUGGAUAUGACGCUGAGCAUGUACACUCAACUUCUUUGGUCGACCAUGGCGAGACCUGUUCUGAGUGGAACCUGUCCUGUUAAUCCGCUGUAUGGUCUUGGCCACCAUGCUGCAGCUCAGUGUCAGGGUCUUGGCAAUCUUCUUAUAGUCUAGGCCAACUUUAUGUAGAGCUACAAUUCUUUUUUUCAGAUCCUCAGAGAGUUCUUUGCCAUGAGGUGCCAUGUUGAACUUCCAUUGACCAGUAUGAGGGAGUGUGAGAGCGAUGACACCAAAUUUAACACACCUGCUCCCCAUUCACACCUGAGACCUUGUAACACUAACAAGUCACAUGACACCGGGAAGGGAAAAUGGCUAAUUGGGCCCAAUUUUGGCAUUUUCACUUAGGGGUGUACUCACUUUUGUUGCCAACGGUUUAGCAAUUAAUGGCUGUGUGUGGAGUUAUUUUGAGGGGACAGCAAAUUCACAAUGUUAUACAAGCUGUACACUCACUACUUUACAUUGUAGCAAAGUGUCAUUUCUUCAGUGUUGUCACAUUAAAAGAUAUAAUCAAAUAUUUACAAAAAUGUGAGGGGUGUACUCACUUUUGUGAGAUACUGUGUAUAUAUAUAUAAAUUUGGUGAGAAAUGGUGAGAAACUAUUACUUUGGUCCUGAUCUUGCUUGUGUACACUGUUUAUUACAUUUUUGAAUGUCUUUUUUUUCUUUUCUUCAUAAAAUUACUUCAGGCACUGAAGUAACUUUGUCUUUUUUGUCAUAUCCAAUAUGAAAAAAAAAUAUUAAACUUGCAUUUUUAGUUCUUUUACCAUAAGUGUAACUUUAUGGACUUGGCUACAUUGUACACCAGUGCUGUAGUACUUUGGAAUGGAACCUUAUGAUAUUUGACCGGCACUGUGAAACUUCAGAUGACUUUUUUUUGCAGUGUUGUUUAACAUGUUUCUGUUAUGUUUGUUUGAUGUUUUGUAAUGACUGAUGAUCAGCGCAGAAUUCAUCAGACUGGUGUCGAUGGACCUGAGCAAGUCCUUUCAUGAGGGUCUUGACAAACAUGUCUCAAAGCUGCUGUAUUUGUACCGCUCAAGGCGCUAUGCAGACAUCGCAGAAAUGAGUGCCAUACUGGAGAGCCUGGAUAAAAAUAGGGUUGCAGUACUGCUGGGGCUGCCACUGUACAUGCAUGGGGAAUCCAUCUCAGUUUCUUAAAGAUCUGUGGGCACACAGAUUGUGAAGAAGAUUUAAUCAAGGGCAUGACUGUUGGAAUCAUUACAGUUGUGGAUGAUGUCAUGGACCCUAUUCCGUGUGACUGCAAUGGUGUAGCUCUUGUAAUCGAAGAAGUUGUAUGCAAUCUUGGUGAUGUACCAAAUGCAUUGUCAACUUGAUGGGAUUGCUUUAAGCACUUAACAUAAACUACCCCAAAAACUUUAUACACCUUUGAGGUCAUUCAGAGGCUGUUCAUGAACAUUGGAGCUAAUGCCUGCAGUGUACGAGUACAUUCACUUAAAAAUAAACUGCUGAAGUAGAGAUGGGUGUUAUGAAUUUCUUGUAAGAGAAAAUGUAAAAAUGUAAUUUAAUUUAUUUUUUAUAAUUGUAAUAGAUUUUUGUUUACUCAAAUUGAUUUUACCACAAUAUUAAAUUUUAAACCUUUUGCUUAAAGAGUUAAAAGAAACACUGGCUAUUGUAGCUCUGGAUAUUUGAACCUGUUUGACUUGUUCUGUUUACAUUUGUAAAUUUAUAAGGGAAACAAUUGAUAAAGUCUUUCAUAUGGAAAAAUGGGUUAUUUAUUUGGUUGAACUUGCUAAUGUAAGUUAGGAAAAUAAGCCAGAUUAAGUGCUACGGCAGCACAUAUAUUGAGAUUGGAACGAUACAGAGAAGAUUAGCAAGUUACAUUAACUCGAAUUUUAGUACAGACAACUUGAAAAAGUUAAGUUCACCUUACUUUUUAUAACAGUAUUUCAAUUGAACUUGGGAAGCCUGCAUUACUUGAAAUGAGUAGUUCAAUUAGUAGUUCAAUAGGUCAAUUAUUUAAUUGUGUCAACAAAACUUUUUAAGUUGAAAUGACUUUUUUUUUUUGUAUUUUACAUAAAUACAAUGUACAGUAACUGAGUCAAAGCAAAAAGACAACUCAAUAAGUUAAGUUGAGUGAACAAUUUUUUUUUUACAAUGUGCAAAGUAUAAUCUGCUGAUUGAUAAUCCAUUGUGUUUAUUUUGCAUCUGGCAUAUACAUGCAUCUAAGUUUUCUUGACCUCUUAUUGAAAUAGCUAAGUGCCCCAUAACUGAGUUGUUGUAUUAUCAUGUCAGAAACAGAAAAUUGUGCAGCGUCACCUUGGGUAUUUCUGCUUUUCAAUAAGCAUCAUCUACUGUCAAGACUGGAAAAACAUAGUCUGUUCUGAUGGAUCUCGAUUUCUGCUGAGGCACAUAGAUGGUACAGUGGUGCUUGAAAGUUUGUGAAGCCUUUAGAAUUUUCUAUUUCUGCAUUCACACAAUUUCUAAAAGUAGAUAAAGAGAACUCAAUUAAACAAAUGAGACAAAAACUGUUACACUUGGUCAUUUAUUUAUUGAGAAAAAUGAUCCAAUAUUACAUACAGUUCUCUCCACUGAUAUUGGCAACCUUGGUAAAUAUUAAGGCUGUGAAAAAUUAACCUUUGAUCUGUUGUUCAAAAAAUUCUUUAUUACUUGUAUAAAAGACAGCUUGUAGCCAGAAAUCUUUCUGAUUGAGAGGGGUUCAAAUACUUAUUUCCCUCAUUAAAAUGCAAAUCAAUUUAUAACAUUUUUGACAUGCGUUUUUCUGGAUUUUUUUGUUGUUAUUCUGUCUCUCACUGUUCAAAUAAAUCUACCAUUAAAAUUAUAGAAUGAUCAUUUCUUUGUCAGUGGGCAAACGUACAAAAUCAGCAGGGGAUCAAAUACUUUUUUUCCCUCACUGUAACUGAGUCAAAGCAAAAAGACAACUCAAUAAGUUAAGUUGAGUGAACAUUUUUUUUUUUUUUACAAUGUGCAAAGGAUAAUCCGCUGAUUGAUAAUCCAUUGUGUUUAUUUUGCAUCUGGCAUAUACAUGCAUGUAAGUUUUCUUGACCUCUUAUUGAAAUAGCUAAGUUACCCAUAACUGAGUUGUUGUAUUAUCAUGUCAGAAACAGAAAAUUGUGCAUCGUCACCUUGGGUAUUUCUGCUUUUCAAUAAGCAUCAUCUACUGAUGGAUCUCGAUUUCUGCUGAAGCACAUAGAUGGUACAGUGGUGCUUGAAAGUUUGUGAAGCCUUUAGAAUUUUCUAUUUCUGCAUUCACACAAGUUCUAAAAGUAGAUAAAGAGAACUCAAUUAAACAAAUGAGACAAAAACUGUUACACUUUGUCAUUUAUUUAUUGAGAAAAAUGAUCCAAUAUUACAUACAGUUCUCUCCACUGAUAUUGGCAACCUUGGCAAAUAUUAAGGCUGUGAAAAAUUAACCUUUGAUCUGUUGUUCAAAAAAUUCUCUCAUGGAUAUCAAACAAUUACAAACACAGCAUAGGCUUAUUAAAAAAAAAAAAAAAAAAAAAAACAUUGUCAAAUAUAUGUGUGGCAGAAUUAUUGUCAUCCCUAUGAAUUCAUAUCAGAAAAUAUAUUUAAAGUAUAUUUCCAUUGAUAUUUUAUAUUUUUUUGUACACCUGGUUGACUAGGGACAGGAACUAGAUCGGGCUCUAUGGUCCGAUGAAACCAAAGUAGAGCUUUUUGACAAUAAACAUCAGAGGUGGUUUGGUGCACACAGAGGUAGCCAUAUGGAAAAGUACCUCAUGCCCAUGGUUAAAUAUGUUUGUGGCUCAUUUGGGGGCUGUUUUUCUGCCAGAAGACCUGGACAUUUCAUUAGGAUACAUGGCAUCAUGGACUCUAUCAAAUAUCAACAGAUAUUAAAUGAACACCUGACUGCCUCUGCCAGAAAGCUUAAAAAGGACCAUGGUUUGAUCUUCCAGCAGGACAAUGAUCCAAAACGUAAAUUAAUAUUAACACAAAAAUUGUUUACUGACCACAAAAUCAAGGUCCUGCCAUGGCCAUCUCAGUCCCCUGACUCUCAUGACUCCCACCAGUUUGGACCUCACUAUUUGAAGGAUCUGGAGAGAUUCUGUAUGACAGAAUAGUCUUAGAUACUUUUCCAUGUAUUCUCCAAGCUCAUCAUUCAUCAUGCAUUAUAGGAGAAUACUCAGAGCUGUUAUCAAUCCAAAAGGAAGUAGCACAAAGUAUUGACUAAAAGGGUGCGAAUAAUUGUGCCACACAAAUAUUUAACAAAGUUGUUUUUUUAAAAUAAACUUGUGUUGUGUUUGCAAUUGUUGAUUUCCAUGAGAGCAGAGUUUUUUGUGAUUUUUUGUACAAAAGAUCAAAAGGUUAAACAAUAAAGACAGCUUUUUCACAGCCUUCUUUGCUCAUAUUUACCAAGGGUGCCAAUAUUAGUGGGCACUGUAUCUGUGAGUGGCAAAAGUAUGUGAACUUUGGCUUUCAGUAUCUGGUUUGACCCCCUUGUGUAUAACUGCAACUGAAUGUUUCUGAUAGCUGUUGAUCAGUCAACAGUCCAUGCACAUCUGCUUGGGUGAAUUUUAGCCCAUUCCUCACUACAGAACAGCUUCAACUCUGGAAUGUUGGUGGAUUUCUUCAAUGAGAAAGUUCAUGAAGUGUUUUAAAUAAUUUUCUGUUAUGCCGCUUCAUUAUUGUAAGGAAGAACAUUGAAGAAUUCAAAGAUGCAAUUAUUACCAAAAGUAAUACUGUUUCUGCUUCCAAGGCCUGUGAAAAAAAGCCAACCAUGUAAAUAUAUAUGUUGUACAUAUUAUUUAUUACAUAUUGAACAUAUUAUGCACCAGAUGAAGACCAAAUAUUAAAAGAAAAAUUUAAAAGCAAAGUGAAGUAUUUGCUAAAGUGUUUUAAGUAACAAUAAUGUUCUUGCUGCUUCCUUGUCUGAUAAACUUUAGAAUAAAUAGUCUAGUGAUCUAGAUUCCCUAUGGCUAAAAAAAAAGAAAAGAAAAAAAGGCAGACCUCUUCAUGUAGAUUUCAUAUCAGCUGAAGAAUUGGCCCUGAUCAAUAAUCAGUGAUGUCCAUAAGGGAGUAGCUGGGGGCACAUCUGAAGACCCUGGCUGCUCCAACAUACAGAAUCAUAGUCGUUUAUGGUAGGUGAGAAUGAGAGAUUAAAACCACAAUGGGCCCCUGGGCAUUGACCGCCCCAGUAAUCUCACCAGAUUCAAGCACACAUGAGAAGCUACUGCAACUACUAUGUGAGUAACUGUGGAAUGUCUUGGGGUAUUAAAAGUUUUUAAAAAAUAAAUAAAUCAAAGUGUAGUUAACAUCAUGGGUAGUUAACAAAUAGGGUGUUUGAAUUCUACAUUAAAUCACAAUCAAAUAAUGUUAAACAGACAUUUCUAAAAGUCCCGUAAAGCAUGGAAACAAUAUACACUAACUGUUAUAGGGUUGAAUAUUUGUAGCACUAAUAAAGUAGCCUACAGUGAUGACCGAAAUGGUAGCAGUCUGGAAAGACCUAACAGGAGCAGUAACAAAAAUUUUCCAGUUCACUGGAAUUCUGAUGGGCCAUAUGUCACUGUCAUUACUGUAUAUCUCAUUAA
Ictalurus punctatus (channel catfish) is the source of this 11624-nucleotide long non-coding RNA. RefSeq lists it as uncharacterized. The record is from RefSeq and is a predicted model, not a curated record. NCBI's taxonomy places the organism in Eukaryota, Metazoa, Chordata, Actinopteri, Siluriformes, Ictaluridae. The transcript has 3 exons.